UACGUAGGGUGCGAGCGUUGUCCGGAAUUAUUGGGCGUAAAGAGCUCGUAGGCGGCUUGUCACGUCGGAUGUGAAAGCCCGAGGCUUAACCUCGGGUCUGCAUUCGAUACGGGCUAGCUAGAGUGUGGUAGGGGAGAUCGGAAUUCCUGGUGUAGCGGUGAAAUGCGCAGAUAUCAGGAGGAACACCGGUGGCGAAGGCGGAUCUCUGGGCCAUUACUGACGCUGAGGAGCGAAAGCGUGGGGAGCGAACAGG
Molecule: ribosomal RNA, 253 nt
Filed under: uncultured bacterium
Lineage: Bacteria
Description: partial 16S ribosomal RNA
Rfam family: Bacterial small subunit ribosomal RNA
Source: RNAcentral